GAUGAACGCUGGCGGCGUGCCUAAUACAUGCAAGUCGAGCGAACAGACGAGGAGCUUGCUCCUCUGACGUUAGCGGCGGACGGGUGAGUAACACGUGGAUAACCUACCUAUAAGACUGGGAUAACUUCGGGAAACCGGAGCUAAUACCGGAUAAUAUAUUGAACCGCAUGGUUCAAUAGUUAAAGACGGUUUUGCUGUCACUUAUAGAUGGAUCCGCGCCGCAUUAGCUAGUUGGUAAGGUAACGGCUUACCAAGGCGACGAUGCGUAGCCGACCUGAGAGGGUGAUCGGCCACACUGGAACUGAGACACGGUCCAGACUCCUACGGGAGGCAGCAGUAGGGAAUCUUCCGCAAUGGGCGAAAGCUUGACGGAGCAACGCCGCGUGAGUGAUGAAGGUCUUCGGAUCGUAAAACUCUGUUAUUAGGGAAGAACAAAUGUGUAAGUAACUAUGCACGUCUUGACGGUACCUAAUCAGAAAGCCACGGCUAACUACGUG
This 497-nucleotide ribosomal RNA is filed under the name uncultured bacterium. RNAcentral's name for it is "partial 16S ribosomal RNA". It matches the Rfam family "Bacterial small subunit ribosomal RNA", at positions 28 to 507 of the family's 1533-position model. The record is from RNAcentral.